AGAACGAACGCUGGCGGCAUGCCUAACACAUGCAAGUCGAACGUGAUCCAGGCUUCGGCCUGGUGAAAGUGGCAGACGGGUGAGUAACGCGUGGGAACCUGCCCUGUGGUAGGGAAUAACCGUGGGAAACUGCGGCUAAUACCCUAUGAGUCCUUCGGGAGAAAGAUUUAUCGCCAUAGGAGGGGCCCGCGUCGGAUUAGGUAGUUGGUGGGGUAACGGCCUACCAAGCCUUCGAUCCGUAGCUGGUCUGAGAGGAUGAUCAGCCACACUGGGACUGAGAUACGGCCCAGACUCCUACGGGAGGCAGCAGUGGGGAAUAUUGGACAAUGGGGGCAACCCUGAUCCAGCAAUGCCGCGUGGAUGAUGAAGGCCUUCGGGUUGUAAAGUCCGUUUCGGCGGGGAAGAUGAUGACGGUACCCGCAGAAGAAGCCCCGGCUAACUUCGUGCCAGCAGCCGC
This 457-nucleotide ribosomal RNA is filed under the name uncultured bacterium. Its description in RNAcentral is "SSU rRNA". It matches the Rfam family "Bacterial small subunit ribosomal RNA", at positions 26 to 518 of the family's 1533-position model. The record is from RNAcentral.